ACACUAGUUUCAGGUGUACAUCAUAGUGAUGUGACAACUCUUUACAUAAUGCUAUGCUCACAACAAGUGUAGCUAUCAUGUCACCUUUCAAUAUUAUUAAAAUACCAUUGACUACAUUCCAUAUGCUGCUGCUUUCAUCAUCUUGUUAUUCAUUAUAAAACUGAAAAGUUUAGGGUUCUUCUUUAUGUAAAAAAUUGUUUUUCUUUUGCUGCUUUUAAUAUCUUUUUGUCUUAACUUUUGACAUUUUAAUUAUGCUGUAUCUUAGUGUGGGUUGCUUUGUAUUCAUCUUUUUUGAAACUCUCUGGGCAUCUUGAAUCUGGAUGCUGUUUCUUUCCCUAGGUUAGGGAUGUUUUUAGUCAUUAUUUAUUAAGACAAGAUUUUAACCUUUCUUUUUCUGGGACCCUUAUGAGUGUUAGUCCACAUGAUGUUACCCUAUAAGCCCCUUAAGAUAUUUUACCUUUUUUCCAUUCUUUAUUUUUUUAACUGCUCUGAAUAGAUGAAUUCCACUGCUUUAUCUUAGAGCUGACAGAUCCUUUUCUCUAUUUCAUGCAAUCUGCUGUUGAACCCCUCUAGUGUACUUUUCAAUGAGGUUAUUGUAUUCUUUAGUUGUGACUUUUAAUAUUUUCUAAUAUUUCAAAUCAUUCUGAACACCCAAAGAAAUUGAGCUGAGGACUGAUAACAAACUACAACCAAAAGGAAAAAAGAGGCCACGUCUUGGAAGGUGGUUGGUGUAGAGACAUGAUUUGGAGAACAAAAGAAUCACAGGUGCUGUGUAGGGAUGGGAGCCCUGAUCACAGAGGAGAGAAUGAGAGCAGGACUCAGGGGAUGGCACAAGAAAAACACUUCUCUAAAACCACUGACUGGGUAAAUGAGAGGGGCUGGUUAUCAUGAGACUUUACAAGCAGUAGAGCUCAAAGACUGAGGUUUAGAAAUCUAUGCCAUUGCUGGGGUAGAGCCUGGCAGGCAUACCAGGUGCUUCACAGGUGCUCCUGUGAAGGAGGGCAUAGGAAUAAAAGUGGACAUUGUGGUCUGAAGAUCCCCUGGGUCACAUUGGGAGAGUUAGUUCCCUUUCUUAGAGUGCAUUUGGGAGAGGUCCAUGGCUUCUCUGGGGACAAAAGAGCCAGUGAGUGCCAUUGAGCUCUCCCAUUCAUUAGCAUAGGAGUAGAGACACCUUCUGAGGGCAGCUAAUCUGGAUGUGGCUUUUUGAUGCACUUUACCAUGAACUCCAGGCCCCCGUGUGUGUUCAUGCAACUGCCCUCCUGGGACAAUCCAGCACUGGCCACACUGUGGUGAGACCAGUGUGGGUCCAUGUUAUCCCAGGUCCCUACAAAUUGGGGUUUUGAAACCCAGCAGGUACACCUGAGGUGAACCACAGGAGCACUGUGCUACUGGAUGGACCAAUGAUUCAGAAACAGGGUGGAGGCAGGGAUCUGAGGAAUGCCUGGGACUCACAAGGGGAGAUUGAUCACUCUUAUGUGAGGCUUCCUGAACAGUGGUGGGUAUGAUCUCUCUUCUCUGGGGCUGAGAGAGCUGGUUAAUGCCCAUUUUACCCCUGCCCCUCAGCACGGGUAGACUUUAGUGAGCAGCAAAGCGCCCACACUGGAGGCUUGAGCUGCUUACACCAAACCCUGCCCCUGCUAUGUUCUCCAGGUGCUUUUUAUUUUUACUGGGGCAAGUGUGCCUGUGAGCCAGAGCAGCAAUGGGCCCUUCCCGCAGGAGACCAGCACAACCCCCUGGAUGCACCAAGUCUACUGACCAUAGAAUGCUGCAAAGCUUCAGUUCUAGUGAAAACAGGAUCUAAGGGGAUCCGUGGGUGGCUCAGCGGUUUGGCGCCUGCCUUUGGCCCAGGGGAUCCCCACCAGCAUUUUUCAUAGAGCUAGAACAAACAAUCCUAAAAUUUGUACAUUACCACAAAAGACUGUGCUUAGCUAAAGCACCCUGGAAAAAGAAAAGCAAAGCUGGAAACAUCAUAAUUCUGGUCUUCAAGCUAUAUUACAAAGCUGUAGUGAUCAAGACAGUAUGGUACUAGUGCAAAAACAGACACAUAGAUCAGGGGAGCAUAAUGUAAAACCCAGAAGUGGGCCCAAAACUAUAUAGUCAACUAAUCUUCAACAAAGGAGGAAGAAUAUCCAAUGGAAAAAAGAUAGUCUCUUCAACAGAUGGUGUUGGGAAAACUGGACAGCAAUAAUAAGAAUGAACUGGACCGCUUUCUUACACCAUACACAGAAAUAAAUUCAAAAUGGAUGAAAGACCUAAAUGUGAGAUAGGAAUCCGUCAAAACCGUAGAGGAGAACACAGGCAGCAACCUCUUUAACCUUGGCUGUAGCAACUUAAUAGACAUGUCACCAGAGGUAAGGGAAACAAAAGCAAAAAUGAACUAUUGGAACCUCAUCAAGAUAAAAAGCUUCUACACAGUGAAAUAAUCAACAACACUAAAAGGCAACCCAUUGAAUGGGCAAAGACAUUUGCAAAUGAUAUAUCUGAUAAAGGGUUAGUAUCCAUAAUACACAAAGAACUUACCAAACCCAACACCCAUAAAACAGUCAAGAAAUGGGUAGAAGGCGUGAGUAGACAUUUUUCUAAAGAAGACCGACAGAUGGCUAAGACAUAUGGAAAGAUGCUCAACAUCACCAUCAUCAGGAGAAUACAAAUCAAAACCACAAUGUGAUACCACUUCACACCUGUCAGAAUGGCUUAAAUUAACACCACAGGAAAUAGCAGAUGUUGGCAAGGAUGAUAGGAAAGGGGAACCUUUUGCACCGUUGGUGGGAAUGCAAACUGGUGCAGGCACUCUGGAAAACAGUAUGGAGGUUCCUCAAAAAUAGAACUACCCAAUGGUCCAGCCAUUGCACUAGUAGGUAUUUACCCAAAGAAUAUAAUUAUACUGAUUCAAAGGGAUACAUGCACCCUGAUGUUUACAGCAGCAGUGUCAACAAGGGCCAAAUUAUGGAAAAGCUCAAAUAUUGACUGAUGAAUGGAUAAAAAAGAGGUGUGUAUAUAUACCUCAAAAGUGAAACAGGAAGAAAUAUAUAUAUAUAUAUAUGGAAUAUUACUCAGCCAAAGGAUAAAAAUAUCAUUUGCAAUGAU
Molecule: long non-coding RNA, 3087 nt
Filed under: Canis lupus familiaris (dog)
Lineage: Eukaryota; Metazoa; Chordata; Mammalia; Carnivora; Canidae
Description: lncRNA (ENSCAFG00000059127.1)
Source: RNAcentral